UGAAUCUAAUGUGGUGUUGAUCAAAUCU
This 28-nucleotide non-coding RNA is filed under the name Bombyx mori (domestic silkworm). The record is from RNAcentral. Lineage: Eukaryota; Metazoa; Arthropoda; Insecta; Lepidoptera; Bombycidae.